GAUGAAGAACGCAGCGAAAUGCGAUAAGUAAUGUGAAUUGCAGAAUUCAGUGAAUCAUCGAAUCUUUGAACGCACAUUGCGCCCCCUGGUAUUCCGGGGGGCAUGCCUGUUCGAGCGUCAUUUCACCACUCAAGCCUCGCUUGGUAUUGGGCAACGCGGUCCGCCGCGUGCCUCAAAUCGACCGGCUGGGUCUUCUGUCCCCUAAGCGUUGUGGAAACUAUUCGCUAAGGGGUGCUCGGGAGGCUACGCCGUAAAACAAACCCAUUUCUAAGGUUGACCUCGGAUCAGGUAGGGAUACCCGCUGAACUUAAGCAUAUCAAUAAGCGGAGGA
This 331-nucleotide unclassified non-coding RNA is filed under the name soil metagenome. RNAcentral's name for it is "partial contains 5.8S ribosomal RNA, internal transcribed spacer 2, and large subunit ribosomal RNA". The stretch from base 1 to 120 matches the Rfam family "5.8S ribosomal RNA", at positions 35 to 154 of the family's 154-position model. The record is from RNAcentral.